UGGGGGAUAUUGCACAAUGGGCGAAAGCCUGAUGCAGCGACGCCGCGUGGGGGAUGAAGGCUUUCGGGUUGUAAACCUCUUUCGCUAUCGAACAAGGCCCGCUUAGGGUGGGUUGAGGGUAGGUGGAGAAGAAGCGCCGGCUAACUACGUGCCAGCAGCCGCGGUAAUACGUAGGGCGCGAGCGUUGUCCGGAAUUAUUGGGCGUAAAGGGCUUGUAGGCGGCUUGUUGCGCCUGCUGUGAAAACGCGGGGCUUAACUUCGCGCGUGCAGUGGGUACGGGCAGGCUUGAGUGUGGUAGGGGUGACUGGAAUUCCAGGUGUAGCGGUGGAAUGCGCAGAUAACUGGAGGAACACCGAUGGCGAAGGCAGGUCACUGGGCCAUUACUGACGCUGAGGAGCGAAAGCAUGGGUAGCGAACAGG
This 420-nucleotide ribosomal RNA is filed under the name bacterium. Its description in RNAcentral is "partial 16S ribosomal RNA". It matches the Rfam family "Bacterial small subunit ribosomal RNA", at positions 355 to 776 of the family's 1533-position model. The record is from RNAcentral.